Dermacentor silvarum is the source of this 866-nucleotide RNA transcript. It is a transcript of the gene named N-alpha-acetyltransferase 10-like, with no coding region annotated. The record is from RefSeq and is a predicted model, not a curated record. Lineage: Eukaryota; Metazoa; Arthropoda; Arachnida; Ixodida; Ixodidae. The transcript has 8 exons.
AGCCUCGCCUUCGCGACCAUGUGAAUUGGCUUCCCAAUGUUGCUUCCUGCAUGCGUUCUUACAAGGGUUGAUGUUCCGUGAUCGUACAUUGACUUGUCCAAGUCCUGUGCACCUGUACUUUAAUUUAUCUUGAAAAUGAACAUCCGUUGCGCAAAGACAGAAGACCUGAUGAACAUGCAGCACUGCAAUUUGCUGUGUCUUCCAGAGAACUAUCAGAUGAAGUAUUACUUCUACCAUGGUCUGUCGUGGCCACAGCUCUCAUAUGUGGCCGAAGAUGAGAAAGGAAAAAUUGUCGGCUACGUGCUCGCAAAAAUGGAAGAAGACUCCGACGAAAAUGAUCCUCAUGGUCACAUCACUUCUCUGGCUGUAAAGAGGUCGCACAGGCGCCUGGGCCUGGCUCAGAAGCUGAUGGACCAGUCAUCUCGUGCCAUGGUGGAAUGCUUCAACGCCAAGUAUGUGUCUCUGCAUGUGCGAAAGAGUAAUCGGGCAGCUCUCCACCUCUACACUAACACUCUUGGAUUCAUGAUCAAUGAGAUUGAGCCAAAAUACUAUGCUGAUGGUGAAGAUGCAUAUGCCAUGAAGAGAGACCUUGUGAGCUUUGCAGCCCAGAGGCCUUCUCACCCUUUCGGGGUUGCCGGCAGCUGCCCCUUGACUUCAGCGGGCAGUUUCCCAUAGAACGCUGCCAUUGGCCGAUAGUUGACAUCAAUCAAGAAGUUUGUUUGGAUCGAACAAGCUGAGCCCCACUGAUCCGGUCAGCUUCUUUGACUCUAAAAGCAGCAAGAAGGAACGUGACAAAGAGCCCGACACUGAGAAGCACUAGAUCUUCGCCUGCUGAAGCAUAUGUGAAAUAAAUUGUGUGAGGUUGA